This 1078-nucleotide ribosomal RNA is filed under the name Streptococcus mutans. RNAcentral describes it as "bacterial SSU rRNA". It matches the Rfam family "Bacterial small subunit ribosomal RNA", at positions 8 to 1060 of the family's 1533-position model. Lineage: Bacteria; Bacillati; Bacillota; Bacilli; Lactobacillales; Streptococcaceae. The record is from RNAcentral.
AGAGUUUGAUCCUGGCUCAGGACGAACGCUGGCGGCGUGCCUAAUACAUGCAAGUGGGACGCAAGGAAACACACUGUGCUUGCACACCGUGUUUUCUUGAGUCGCGAACGGGUGAGUAACGCGUAGGUAACCUGCCUAUUAGCGGGGGAUAACUAUUGGAAACGAUAGCUAAUACCGCAUAAUAUUAAUUAUUGCAUGAUAAUUGAUUGAUAGAUGCAAGCGCAUCACUAGUAGAUGGACCUGCGUUGUAUUAGCUAGUUGGUUAGGUAAGAGCUUACCAAGGCGACGAUACAUAGCCGACCUGAGAGGGUGAUCGGCCACACUGGGACUGAGACACGGCCCAGACUCCUACGGGAGGCAGCAGUAGGGAAUCUUCGGCAAUGGACGAAAGUCUGACCGAGCACGCCGCGUGAGUGAAGAAGGUUUUCGGAUCGUAAAGCUCUGUUGUAAGUCAAGAACGUGUGUGAGAGUGGAAAGUUCCACACAGUGACGGUAGCUUACCAGAAAGGGACGGCUAACUACGUGCCAGCAGCCGCGGUAAUACGUAGGUCCCGAGCGUUGUCCGGAUUUAUUGGGCGUAAAGGGAGCGCAGGCGGUCAGGAAAGUCUGGAGUAAAAGGCUAUGGCUCAACCAUAGUGUGCUCUGGAAACUGUCUGACUUGAGUGCAGAAGGGGAGAGUGGAAUUCCAUGUGUAGCGGUGAAAUGCGUAGAUAUAUGGAGGAACACCAGUGGCGAAAGCGGCUCUCUGGUCUGUCACUGACGCUGAGGCUCGAAAGCGUGGGUAGCGAACAGGAUUAGAUACCCUGGUAGUCCACGCCGUAAACGAUGAGUGCUAGGUGUUAGGCCCUUUCCGGGGCUUAGUGCCGGAGCUAACGCAAUAAGCACUCCGCCUGGGGAGUACGACCGCAAGGUUGAAACUCAAAGGAAUUGACGGGGGCCCGCACAAGCGGUGGAGCAUGUGGUUUAAUUCGAAGCAACGCGAAGAACCUUACCAGGUCUUGACAUCCCGAUGCUAUUCUUAGAGAUAGGAAGUUACUUCGGUACAUCGGAGACAGGUGGUGCAUGGUUGUCGUCAGCU